UACGUAGGUGGCGAGCGUUAUCCGGAAUUAUUGGGCGUAAAGGGUGCGCAGGCGGCAAGAGAAGCUUAAGUUGAAAGCGUGGGGCUCAACUCCAUAAAGGCUUAGGAACUGACUUGCUGGAGUGCAGGAGAGGGCGAUGGAAUUCCAUGUGUAGCGGUAAAAUGCGUAGAGAUAUGGAGGAACACCAGUGGCGAAGGCGGUCGCCUGGCCUGCAACUGACGCUGAGGCACGAAAGCGUGGGGAGCAAA
This 248-nucleotide ribosomal RNA is filed under the name uncultured Erysipelotrichaceae bacterium. Its description in RNAcentral is "partial 16S ribosomal RNA". It matches the Rfam family "Bacterial small subunit ribosomal RNA", at positions 524 to 772 of the family's 1533-position model. Lineage: Bacteria; Bacillati; Bacillota; Erysipelotrichia; Erysipelotrichales; Erysipelotrichaceae. The record is from RNAcentral.